Molecule: small RNA, 101 nt
Rfam family: dinG RNA
Source: Rfam
CAUGGUACUUCUACUUUGAACGCCUCACCGCAUUGAGUAGCCCGGCAGACGGCCGGGAAAACGCAUCACCCUCGUUUGAGAUAGAAUGAGGGGCGGCUUUU